CUCCAUAGGUUUUAACUGAACAAAUGAAUGAUGUGUGUUCAGUACUUAGCCUAGUGCUUAGUCCAUGGUAAGCACUCAGUCAGUGGCAGCUACCCUCACCCUCAUGCUCCCCUGUGGGUUCGAGUACCGCUUGGCUAAUAUAGAGGUAAUUUGGACCUUCUGUGUGCACACAGUCUGAAUUUCUGAGAACACAACCAUGAAAUGCUCAGCUAAAAGAUUUUCUGUGAGUAUUUUUAGUCCGACUUGAAGGCUCCGGGAAAACCUCAGAAAGGAGGGUAUCAUGUGAGCUGACCUUGGAAGGAUCAGUCCGAUUUCAGUAGAGAGAACAGUCGGGUGGGCAGGGAGGUGACACACUGCAUGCUGAAGGGACAGCUGGAGCAUGUAGAGCAUGUGGGGAAACUCACCUCUUCAGAAAUGACAAGUGUUCCCAGUGUGAGGAAUGAUACGGCAGGAGGCGAGUCUGGCAGGGUCUAGACGGUGAUGGGAACCCUUUGUGUAAAGGGGUAGGUAGCAGAUAUUUUAGGCCCUUAUAUAUUGCAUAACCAGAGAGAACAAAUUUCCCAAACUUUUAUUGAUAAAAUUCAAAAUAUAAUCAUAAUCAUAACUGAAUAUAACCUUUGGGAAUAUGGGUCUACUAAUGAGCAAAAUGGAUUUUUUAGGGGAAUAGCAUUUGCUGAAAUUGGGUCCAAAAUGAAUGUUCUUUUUUAUCAUAUCGAUUGCCAACAUUUAUCUACAAAGUCAUUCUUAGCUCCUGGCUGAACAAAAACAGGUCAAGGGCCAGAUUUGACUCCAGGAGCACAGUUUGCCAGUCUCUGAUCUACAUCAUUAAGGGCAGAAUACAGUGCCAACAAGUUUCAGACUCCGUAAUGUGCAAAUAACCUCCUGAACAGAGUGCCUGAGGAUGCUUGGUUUGAUCCUGCCUGAUUAAGUACAUCCUUUAUUCCUCCCGAGUGACGUAGUCACUCUCUUGCUUCCUUACAUCUGAAAAGCAAUGGGGCACUGAAGUACAUGUGAGGGUCUCCUUGUCUUCAUAUGUAAUGAGUCAUCAACCCAUCUCUCAUAGCAACCAAGGAUACAAGGUACAGGAGUCACCAUUAUGAGAUAUCACCAGUCUCUGGCUGAUAUGACUUCCCCCAGGAGCCCUGAACAGGCUUUAAAAAAAAAAACAAACCAGACAAGGAAAAGGUGAUGUUAAAAUUACAGAGGUGAGUUCCCUUUUGGUGCAGUGGGUAAGGACCUGGUGUUGUCACUGCAUGGCCUGAGUUGCUGCUGUGGCUCGGGUUCAACCCCUGGCCCAGGACCUCCCACAUAAUGCAAUUCAAUUCAGUUUAUAUUCAAUUCGUUCAUUCUAUUUAAUUCACUUCAUACUUGUUGACUAUUUCCUAUAUCUAAGACACCGAGCUCAGCUCUGGGGAUAUGACCGUGAGGCCCCCAGUCUGGGGCAUCCUUAUUUACUCUGUGUCUGUUGCUACUUCACAGCAGGGAGAAGUAUGAUGAGGCGGAUUAUGGGGGGGAUGAUGAUGGAAAGGGAGGAAGAGGCAGAAGGAGACCUUGCACUGGCGUAAGCGUGAGUGCUUUUAACCAGAAAGGUCUUUAGGGGGAAAUAGAAGAGGGAAGAGCUCUGAAGAACCAGAGGAACAUAAAGGAAAUUAAUUAAUAGUCAGGGUUACCGAUCUGGUAGCCAGGGUGCAGUGGACCAACCACAUAUCCUGGCAUCAGAUAAACCUCAGUUCAGAUCCCAGCCUUUCCAUUUGCUGUUUCUGUAACUUGGUGAAGUUAUGUCCAGUCUCUGAGCUUCAGUUUCCUCCGCCAGAAAAUGGCCAGUCAUAGGUGACACGUGUCAUAGGUUGUGUGGAUGUGAACGUGUUCUGUAAACCGCUAGGUCCUUGUAAUUUUAAGCCUUAAUACUCAGAAAUGCACAGUAGUUGAGAGGCCAGGAGAGCAGUUAGUCGAGGAUCAGGGUUAAGUUCCUGGAUUACAGCUGUGAGCAGGACAGACGUGGUUCAUCACGGGUGAGCAGCACAGCGAUGGGGCGUUAGGCAUGUAUUCCAAUAACGAAUGUGAAUGCAGCCGUGAGGCAUCUUAGGCACAGAGAGUACAAGGGGCUAACAGAGCUGUCCUGUUCCUCACCCGGAGCAGGAGUUGGAGCAUCAUCUGAGGAAGCAGCGUUUCAGCCAAGCCCUGCAGGAGGGAGCCGAGCUUUGACGUCUGCUCCACCUCCCGCGUGACCCUGAACAAGCCUCUCCUCCUCUGGCUUCAUUUUCCUCAUCUGUCAUUAGAGGGCUGGCCCGGUCCCCUCUCAGUCCUUCCCAGGGCUGAGAGACCAGACUCAAAGGCCCCAGCACAAGGUGCCAAAGCGCGCUUGUCAUCAGCUUGCGGUAGACAACACGGGGUAGAGGAGGGAGCCGUGACCGUGAUCCGAAAAUCCAAUGACAUUGAAGAGGGAGCUUGUGGCCACGGAUUUGGUUUCAUCCAUUUGAUGCUUCUCUCCUUCCAUUCUGAAUAGCUGAUGCUUUCUUGUCCGAGAAAUCUUCAAAGCACUUUUCAUUUUCUUUCUUUUUUUCUUUUUCAGAACUUGAAAAAAUACUGGGAGUUCCUGUUGUAGCUCAGUGGUAACAAACCCAGCUAGUGUCCAUGAGGACUCAGGGUUGAUCCCUGGCCUCGCUCAGAGAGUUAAGGAUCUGGCAUUGCUGUGCCUGUGGUGUAGACCAGCAGCUGCAGCUCCAAUUUGAUCCCUAGCCUGGGAACUUCCAUAUGCUGUGGGUACGGCCCU
Molecule: long non-coding RNA, 2773 nt
Filed under: Sus scrofa (pig)
Lineage: Eukaryota; Metazoa; Chordata; Mammalia; Artiodactyla; Suidae
Description: lncRNA (ENSSSCG00005028413.1)
Source: RNAcentral